AUGGCUAGUGGAAGCCCUUGGAACCGUCAGAAGUGUAAUGGGUGUGGUGACUGGAGAAAGGGUCUUUGCAGUGAUGGCGCUCAAGUUGCAGAAUACUCUUCACAGGAACACCAGCUUGGCAUCAAGUUUGUUUUGCUGUUUUUUAGCUGUCAGGCACUCUCAACACCUGUUAUCCUUGGUAUCAUUGCGGACACAACAGGGUGUGAAUUCAUCUUAAGGCUGAUAGGUGUACCCUGCCCUUCAAAAACCAAAAUGUCCCCAGGACUUAAAGUCAGGAAUCAGGCACCAUGGGGAGUGGCUCUCAGCCCAGGUGCCCACUUGUGGCAUCAACAGAAGGUGUUGUGCGAUGGUGGUCCAGCAUGGAAGUUUAGAAAGGAGGGUGGAACAUCCAGGAUGGCUCUGGUGACUCAAGGAGGUCAGAAGUUAUAG
RNAcentral lists this long non-coding RNA (429 nucleotides) under Podarcis muralis (Common wall lizard). Its description in RNAcentral is "lncRNA (ENSPMRG00000021710.1)". Lineage: Eukaryota; Metazoa; Chordata; Lepidosauria; Squamata; Lacertidae. The record is from RNAcentral.